This 410-nucleotide ribosomal RNA is filed under the name uncultured bacterium. Its description in RNAcentral is "bacterial SSU rRNA". It matches the Rfam family "Bacterial small subunit ribosomal RNA", at positions 8 to 422 of the family's 1533-position model. The record is from RNAcentral.
AGAGUUUGAUCCUGGCUCAGAUUGAACGCUGGCGGCAUGCCUUACACAUGCAAGUCGAACGGCAGCGCGGGGCAACCUGGCGGCGAGUGGCGAACGGGUGAGUAAUAUAUCGGAACGUACCCUGGAGUGGGGGAUAACGUAGCGAAAGUUACGCUAAUACCGCAUACGAUCUAAGGAUGAAAGUGGGGGAUCGCAAGACCUCAUGCUCCUGGAGCGGCCGAUAUCUGAUUAGCUAGUUGGCGGGGUAAAAGCCCACCAAGGCAACGAUCAGUAGCUGGUCUGAGAGGACGACCAGCCACACUGGAACUGAGACACGGUCCAGACUCCUACGGGAGGCAGCAGUGGGGAAUUUUGGACAAUGGGCGCAAGCCUGAUCCAGCAAUGCCGCGUGAGUGAAGAGGGCCUUCGGG